GAUGAACGCUGGCGGCGUGCCUAAUACAUGCCAGUCGAGCGAACAGACGAGGAGCUUGCUCCUCUGACGUUAGCGGCGGACGGGUGAGUAACACGUGGAUAACCUACCUAUAAGACUGGGAUAACUUCGGGAAACCGGAGCUAAUACCGGAUAAUAUAUUGAACCGCAUGGUUCAAUAGUGAAAGACGGUUUUGCUGUCACUUAUAGAUGGAUCCGCGCCGCAUUAGCUAGUUGGUAAGGUAACGGCUUACCAAGGCAACGAUGCGUAGCUGACCUGAGAGGGUGAUCGGCCACACUGGAACUGAGACACGGUCCAGACUCCUACGGGAGGCAGCAGUAGGGAAUCUUCCGCAAUGGGCGAAAGCCUGACGGAGCAACGCCGCGUGGGUGAUGAAGGUCUUCGGGUCGUAAAACUCUGUUAUUAGGGAAGAACAAAUGUGUAAGUAACUAUGCACGUCUUGACGGUACCUAAUCAGAAAGCCACGGCUAACUACGUG
RNAcentral lists this ribosomal RNA (497 nucleotides) under uncultured bacterium. RNAcentral describes it as "partial 16S ribosomal RNA". It matches the Rfam family "Bacterial small subunit ribosomal RNA", at positions 28 to 507 of the family's 1533-position model. The record is from RNAcentral.